RNAcentral lists this transfer RNA (76 nucleotides) under compost metagenome. Its description in RNAcentral is "tRNA-Arg". It matches the Rfam family "tRNA". Rfam says of the family: Transfer RNA (tRNA) molecules are approximately 80 nucleotides in length. Their secondary structure includes four short double-helical elements and three loops (D, anti-codon, and T loops). The record is from RNAcentral.
GGAUCCUUAGCUCAGUGGAUAGAGCGCUGCCCUCCGAAGGCAGAGGUCGCGUGUUCGAGUCACGCAGGGUCCGCCA